Molecule: microRNA, 21 nt
Filed under: Ananas comosus (pineapple)
Lineage: Eukaryota; Viridiplantae; Streptophyta; Magnoliopsida; Poales; Bromeliaceae
Description: microRNA s0790_c108a
Source: RNAcentral
AAUGGUUCCAUGUCCAAUCUA